RNAcentral lists this ribosomal RNA (254 nucleotides) under uncultured bacterium. RNAcentral's name for it is "partial 16S ribosomal RNA". It matches the Rfam family "Bacterial small subunit ribosomal RNA", at positions 524 to 776 of the family's 1533-position model. The record is from RNAcentral.
CACGUAGGGACCAAGCGUUGUCCGGAUUUAUUGGGCGUAAAGAGCUCGUAGGCGGUUCGGUAAGUCGGGUGUGAAAACUCUGGGCUCAACUCGGAGAGGCCACCCGAUACUGCCGUGACUUGAGUACGGUAGGGGAGCACGGAAUUCCUGGUGUAGCGGUGAAAUGCGCAGAUAUCAGGAGGAACACCGGUGGCGAAGGCGGUGCUCUGGGCCGUGACUGACGCUGAGACGCGAAAGCGUGGGGAGCGAACAGG